GGCUACAGGAUCCUUGCUGGGGGUUCGGGGAGCGCUUGGACCCCGGCUUCUGAGACGCGUCAGGAGAAGGGAGCACUGGCUUUGCUUUCAUCAGGCCAAAGAUGCCUUUCUUUGGGAAUACGUUCAGUCCGAAGAAGACACCUCCUCGGAAGUCGGCCUCUCUCUCCAACCUGCAUUCUGUGCCAGGUAAUGAUUAGAGAAAUGAGUUGUUGGGGUCAUAUUGUUGGCGGAAGAGGAGCUGGGAUGAAGGCGUGUUCCGGGCCUGCUGAAGUUGUCACAUAGCAUCUCGCCCACAGUUGGAUCGAUCAACCCGGGAGGUGGAGCUGGGCUUGGAAUACGGAUCCCCGACUAUGAACCUGGCAGGGCAAAGCCUGAAGUUUGAAAAUGGCCAGUGGAUAGCAGGUGAGCUGCACUUCCUGCCAUUUUGUCAAACAAGAUUGUAGGAGGAAAUCCCCCUUUAACUGGUUCUGUCCUUCCUCCAGAGACAGGGGUUAGUGGCGGUGUGGACCGGAGGGAGGUUCAGCGCCUUCGCAGGCGGAACCAGCAGUUGGAGGAAGAGAACAAUCUCUUGCGGCUGAAAGUGGACAUCCUGUUAGACAUGCUUUCAGAGUCCACUGCCGAAUCCCACUUAAUGGAGAAGGAACUGGAUGAACUGAGGAUCAGCCGGAAGAGAAAAUGAAGACCCCAGAGACAUUUAUUGGGGAGUAGGAUGUGGCUGAGUGCUUUUUUUUUUUGGCCAGACUAGCGGAUUCAGUCCUGGAAGAGAGUAUCAUAUAAUGGGACCCACAGGCACUGGCACCCUUGGGUUGGCAAUAGAAGGUGACAUGGAAUGGAGAAAACCAAGAUUCCAGAUGGGGA
This 858-nucleotide small RNA is filed under the name Pan troglodytes (chimpanzee). Its description in RNAcentral is "retained intron". The record is from RNAcentral. Lineage: Eukaryota; Metazoa; Chordata; Mammalia; Primates; Hominidae.